Molecule: ribosomal RNA, 775 nt
Filed under: uncultured Neocallimastigales
Lineage: Eukaryota; Fungi; Neocallimastigomycota; Neocallimastigomycetes; Neocallimastigales
Description: partial large subunit ribosomal RNA
Rfam family: Eukaryotic large subunit ribosomal RNA
Source: RNAcentral
UAGAUGCGAGAGUAGAGCAUAUCAAUAAGCGGAGGAAAAGAAACUAACAAGGAUUCCCUUAGUAACGGCGAGUGAAGCGGGAAGAGCUCAAAUUUGAAAUCUUCAAGGUUCUACCUUGACGAAUUGUAGUUUAUAGAAGUGUUUUCUGUUAGUGGAGUGGCAAAAGUUCUUUGGAAUAGGACAUCAUAGAGGGUGAGAAUCCCGUAUUUGGUCACUUCCUCCUAGCGUUGUGAUACACUUUCAACGAGUCGGAUUGUUUGGGAAUGCAGUCCAAAAUGGGUGGUAAAUUUCAUCUAAAGCUAAAUAUUGGCGAGAGACCGAUAGCGAACAAGUACCGUGAGGGAAAGAUGAAAAGAACUUUGAAAAGAGAGUUAAACAGUACGUGAAAUUGUCAAAAGGGAAGCGUUUGACACCAGUGUUGUUUUUCCGAAAAUCAAUUACGAAUGUUUUAUUUUUGAGGAGUUAUGACUUCAUCGGCUUGCUCCUUUCUUUAUGAAACUUUCUUAAUGCACUUUUCGGUUAACAAGUCAACAUCAAUUUCUUUUGUUGUAAAAGGGUAUGAGGAAGGUGGCUUUCUUUUCGGAGAAAGUGUUUAUAGCCUUGUGCCUCUGCAAUCGGAGAGAUUGAGGUCUGCAGCGUAGAUCCUUCGGGGUUAGAUACGUUUGUGCUAAGUUAUAGCUUUUCAUAGACAACUUGUUGACUAUGUUUAGUCUUGUAGCUUACUCGCUUACGCUAUUUUACCUACGCUUAGGAUGUUGACGAGACUGUCGAUCUC